GGGCCCGCACAAGCGGUGGAGCAUGUGGUUUAAUUCGACGCAACGCGAAGAACCUUACCAAGGCUUGACAUUUUUCUGAAAGCGUAAGAGAUUACGCCCCCUUCGGGCAGAGUAAACAGGUGGUGCAUGGUUGUCGUCAGCUCGUGUCGUGAGAUGUUGGGUUAAGUCCCGCAACGAGCGCAACCCUUAUCUUUAGUAGCCAUCAGGUAAUGCUGGGCACUCUAGAGAGACUGCCGUGGAUAACACGGAGGAAGGUGGGGAUGACGUCAAAUCAUCAUGCCCCUUAUGUCUUGGGCAACACACGUGCUACAAUGGCUGCAACAAAGCGAAGCGAAAUUGUGAGAUGGAGCAAAAGCGCAAAAAAGCAGUCUCAGUUCGGAUUGUAGUCUGCAACUCGACUACAUGAAGCUGGAAUCGCUAGUAAUCGCGAAUCAGCAUGUCG
RNAcentral lists this ribosomal RNA (442 nucleotides) under uncultured Bacillota bacterium. RNAcentral's name for it is "bacterial SSU rRNA". It matches the Rfam family "Bacterial small subunit ribosomal RNA", at positions 917 to 1359 of the family's 1533-position model. Lineage: Bacteria; Bacillati; Bacillota. The record is from RNAcentral.